ACACCAGAUAUAAAUAGAACAAGUGAGUAAUUGAGGGAAGAGGAGAAUUUACAUCCAAAAACAGAAUUUACAUUCAAGGGGAGCAGAUUUACAUUCAAGGAUACACAUCAACCUCAAGGGAGGCAAAUGGAGAAACAACAUCUGUAAGAUUGCUAGAAGAUAUUUCCAGCUGAAGUUUCAAAAGUCCAAGGCUGCAACUCUCCUUCUGUGUUUUUUUUAUUCUAUUUCCUUCUAAUGUAUUCUCUUUACCUUUUUAUAAACUUGAUUGUAAAACUCACCAUGGGUGAGUAAGUUUUUUAUCCUAGGGUUAGGGUGUAGCACUCUCA
Molecule: unclassified non-coding RNA, 326 nt
Filed under: Hevea brasiliensis (rubber tree)
Lineage: Eukaryota; Viridiplantae; Streptophyta; Magnoliopsida; Malpighiales; Euphorbiaceae
Source: RNAcentral